CUUAUGGUGGCCUAGUGGUUAAAACAUCCGCCUCAUAUGUGGGAGGUCAUGGGUUUGAUCCCCGGUCGAAGUAUACCAAAGA
Non-coding RNA from Potamilus streckersoni, 82 nucleotides. The record is from the annotation of a GenBank genome assembly. Lineage: Eukaryota; Metazoa; Mollusca; Bivalvia; Unionida; Unionidae.